This 468-nucleotide ribosomal RNA is filed under the name uncultured bacterium. Its description in RNAcentral is "partial 16S ribosomal RNA". It matches the Rfam family "Bacterial small subunit ribosomal RNA", at positions 28 to 507 of the family's 1533-position model. The record is from RNAcentral.
GACGAACGCUGGCGGCGUGCUUAACACAUGCAAGUCGAACGGAAAGGCCCUGCUUUUGUGGGGUGCUCGAGUGGCGAACGGGUGAGUAACACGUGAGUAACCUGCCCUUGACUUUGGGAUAACUUCAGGAAACUGGGGCUAAUACCGGAUAGGAGCUCCUGCUGCAUGGUGGGGGUUGGAAAGUUUCGGCGGUUGGGGAUGGACUCGCGGCUUAUCAGCUUGUUGGUGGGGUAGUGGCUUACCAAGGCUUUGACGGGUAGCCGGCCUGAGAGGGUGACCGGCCACAUUGGGACUGAGAUACGGCCCAGACUCCUACGGGAGGCAGAAGGGGGGAAUAUUGCACAAUGGGCGGAAGCCUGAUGCAGCAACGCCGCGUGCGGGAUGACGGCCUUCGGGUUGUAAACCGCGUUCGCCUGUGACGAAGCGUGAGUGACGGUAAUGGGUAAAGAAGCACCGGCUAACUACGUG